Molecule: RNA transcript, 2523 nt
Organism: Brassica rapa (field mustard)
Lineage: Eukaryota; Viridiplantae; Streptophyta; Magnoliopsida; Brassicales; Brassicaceae
Source: RefSeq, a predicted model, not a curated record
UAUUAUUAUAUGGUUAGCUUUUCCUUCUGUUUUAUCGGUUUCUCAUUAGCUUUUAUAACCCGUGAUCUAGUCUCUUGAUUCAUAAUUAUGUUUAGAGCUAUCCUUUGCUUCAUUUGAUCACAUCUAUUUUCAAUCAUGGAUCUUGCAAGAGUACUGUUCAUGAUCCAGUUUAUUGGUUUUCUAGCUUAUUUAUUUUGUGUGCUCGUACAUUUUGAUUCCCUGAAAUAUGUAAUCAUGUAUCUAAGUUAAACUAUUAUGUUAUCAAUAGUUGAAUUGUGGUAUAGAUGGUAUCCAAUUUAUAUAUAACUGAUUCCAUGUGAUCACGCUGUGAAUUUUGCGAGAAUGUUUUUGUGGGUUUGGUUCUUGAUAUAUAUAGGAACAUGUUUUUGUUUUUCGCAUUUAAUCCUGUAAACAACCAUAUAGACACAUUAAUUUGUGUGUGUUUUCGAAACUCUUCAUGUAAUUUUGGGGUCCAGAUGCGGUUUGUAUAUGCAUUUGCUGAGAAGAACCAAUUCAAUAUAAUGGUUAAGAAAUUUACAGUACUUGCAUUGCUUUAUGAAUGCUUCAUGUAUGCGUUUGCAUUACUAAAUUUUGAAGAACAAUUCAGUAUAGUGGUUAAAAACUACAGUACGGAGUUGCUUUGUGAAUCCUUACUGUGUGCGUUUCCAUUACUAAAUAUUGAAGAAGAUUAAAAUGUGAUUUUUUGGUCACCCAGAUCAAAUUCUUAUUUAUUUAAGCCAAAACACUAUUCCCUGGUUGCAAAUUUAUUGAUAGUCUCUUAUCGAUGACAGAGAUAGAACAAUUUAAACUUGGGAUUUGUUUGUGAGUGAUGAGGUUAUGAAUAGGACUUCUUCUUAUCGGUGUUACCCAAGGUCCUGGAGCUUCUCACCAAAAGCUCUUGCUGGGUAACAGUCGACGACUAUCAAUUGUUCUUGCGAACAAUCGCCUUAGGGAUUAAGGUGAAAUUUCUCCAUGGGGUUCUUCAUCUUGCUGAGCUUGACUCGCCUCUUAUAGGCUUUAUCUCGAGGUUUCUUAGUGCGUUUUACUUUUGUUGUACCGUCGAAUCUUCUGUUUUGGUUGAUUCGGUUUUGGUUGUAAACUUUCAUGCUCCUUGAAAGAUGGUGCUUUCUGAUACGUGUGAAAUGUAUGAUAUUUAUUCUCAAGUGGCAUGUUUCUUAUAAGGAUCGAUAUAAUAUAAGGUUGAGCUAGAUGGAAAUUGUCACAUGAUGGUAAUUAUGUCAUCUGAAAUGGCAUAUUGUUUUACGUUUUGCCUUACAUUAAUGUUACAAGUUAUGACCAAAACUUUUGUUUGCAUUCAUAUGAGGUGCCCUUUUGCGUGAACUAGGAAGACAUAAUCAAAGAGCAUCAAAUAACGCCCUUGUGUGAACAAGUUACUUUGUUUGGUUUUCAUGUUGUAGUUUGGAUUGUCUAUGCCAGAGAUGAACGCACUGUUUAUGUAUUGAUAUGUCGUUGCGACUGAAUUUUGCCUGAAUCCUGAAUCCUGAAAUUGUCCAAGUUCAAUGUUAUCAAGUCAUCAUCUUAAGAAACUGAAGUAUUACCUGGUAAUUGGCUCUUCUUGAUAAGCUAGCCACUUAAAAUCAUUUCUUGUGAAGAGCAUUUCCUUCUUUUCUAAAACUUAUUUUGUUGUAUAAUAUAGGCACAAAGAAACUAGAUGUGAUAAAGAAAAUCGAAUUAAAUAUUCCAGUCAGCCGUUUCAAAAUAUUCAAAAGAUUAUAUUCUUCUUGAAGCAAUAUAAAGUCAAUAUUUAUCAACCAAGUUGAUAAUAAUGAAAUAAAAGAAAUCAAAACAUGUAAAUUACAUAUUUAAUUGCCGCUAACUUAACCAAAGAAAGUUUCCCUCUGAUUACUUAACCAUUAUCUUAAAUUGUGUUGUUGUAUAUAGUCUUUAAACCUUCGAUUACGUUGAGUAGAAAACAUGGAGGAGUCGAGCGAGAGGGUUGUUCGGUUAGAGCAACACGAUGAGAUCACGACGGGCGAUGACUUGGUUAUCCAUCCCAUCCCACAGGACCUAGCACUAGCAGUAUCGGCGAUAUAUGAUCGCAUGAUGGUAGAUGUGGAGGAGUUAUUGUUUAACCAAAUCAGAGACACCUUCCUCUCGUAUACCAGUACCCCAUCAUACUUAGGCUUCGUCGGUCUCCCCGACGAAGAAUGUCAACAACCACGGCCAGCUCUUCGUAAUGCUAGAAGGAGACGCCCUCCUCCGGCCCGCGUAUCUCGACGGUCCUCGCAGGUGUCUCCACCCGUUUAUCUCCGCCAUAGGUUUCUGCCACAGUCACGUAAAGACUCAUCUUCUAGACGCCAACGUUAAUCUUCUAAUCAUUAUAUGAGAUGAUGUUCUUUGUGUCAUUGUGUGUUGUGUCUACAUAUCAUUAUAAUAAUCGGAUGUCUCCGAAAAGUUUAUUUGAAAUUCGGGUCUACCAUCAUAAACCGGGAAAUUUAUGUACCACCUCCAGGUUAUUGAAACACUAUCAAUCAACUUAUGAACAGUUUAUUUAUGCCUCAA